Non-coding RNA from Podarcis lilfordi (Lilford's wall lizard), 79 nucleotides. The record is from the annotation of a GenBank genome assembly. Lineage: Eukaryota; Metazoa; Chordata; Lepidosauria; Squamata; Lacertidae.
GCUGGGUAGCUCAGUUGGUUAGAGCAUGGUGCAGACCACACCAAGGUUGCAGGUUCGAUCCCUGUAUGGGACAGCUGCA